Molecule: RNA transcript, 1476 nt
Organism: Betta splendens (Siamese fighting fish)
Lineage: Eukaryota; Metazoa; Chordata; Actinopteri; Anabantiformes; Osphronemidae
Gene: hmg20a
Gene name: high mobility group 20A
Exons: 9
Source: RefSeq, a predicted model, not a curated record
GUUGCGAUUCUAUGAAGUAGCUGCUGUAUUGUUUUGAUUAGGAAUCAUUUGUACAGGUACGACUACGGAUUACGUUGUCUAAGUCCUAGUCGUCAUGGAGGAGCAGACAGGCUCUCCUGCAGGCAAUACUGACAGCAAUAGCCAGAGAAAUGGAGAAGAGAAACCGCGACGUGGCAGCUGGACCAAGGGGAGGAAGAGGAAGAAGCCGAUGAAGGACAGCAACGCACCCAAGGCUCCCCUGACAGGCUACGUUCGCUUCAUGAACGACAGACGGGAGCAGCUACGGGCAGAGCGUCCAGACGUGCCCUUCCCUGAGAUCACGAGGAUGCUGGGCAACGAGUGGAGCAAGCUGCCCCCUGAGGAGAAGCAGCGAUACUUGGAUGAGGCAGAGCGAGAUAAGGAGCGCUACAUGCGGGAGUUGGAGAAGUAUCAAAAAACGGAGGCCUACAAACAUUUCACCAGGAAAGUCCAGGAAAAACAGAAGGGCAAGAGACACAGGGGAGAUGUUGGGCACCAGGUAGCCAGCGAGGCUCUUCAUGAGAAGGAUGCAGAAGGGAAGGACAGAACUGUGUUUGACAUACCGAUCUUCACCGAGGAGUUUCUCAACCACAGCAAAGCGCGCGAAGCUGAGAUGCGGCAGCUGCGUAAGACCAACAUGGAGUACGAGGAGCGUAACGCAGCGCUGCAGAAGCACGUGGAGAGCAUGCGUGGGGCUGUCGAGAGGCUGGAGGGAGAUGUGAUGCAGGAGAGGGGCCGCAACGGGUUACUCCACCAACACCUGGAGACUCUGCGUCAGGCGCUCACCUCCAGUUUCUCUGCUGUUCCUCUGCCAGAUCACAAAAUCCAUCUCCAUUUGUUAAGGCUGCAGCUGAUUCAAGAACGUCAUACUUUACAGGUAGCGGAGAGACGCCCAGCCUUGACACGGUUGAUUCCUACAUGAAGAAGCUCCACAGCAUCAUUGUCAGCAACCCACAGGAACACGAGUCUCUCAUCAACACCGUGAGAGACGUGGUGAACCGUUUAGAGAGAUAAUUGGACACACUGCAAAUAGAUGGUGUACAAAGGACUGAGGAACUGUAUCUAGGUUGAUGCCCUGCUCCUUCAUCCUGAAUCUCCUUUUCAAGUUGUCUUUUUAUUUUAACCGUCUGUUAUUACUCUGCUAAACUGAUAUAGGUAAAGAUGUUGUAUCGUCUUUUAUUUAUUUAUAUUUUUUACAUUUUUUAACUAUGCUCUCUUUAUUAACUUGUUUGUUUUAUAAAAUAAUGCAAUCAUUUGAUCUGUAUUUGCUUUUAGGUCUUUUUUAGGUAAUGCUUCCUCCAUUGUCAUACUUGUGUUUCACGAAACCAGUUUUUUUCAGAAAAGGUUUUGGGAAGCAUUUUGUUUUAUGCUCUGGUUAUGAAAAAUAUUGUGCCAUUUCUUUUUUCCUGUGUGGAAAGGUGUUCCUGUGUUUUCAAUAAACAUAUUUACAGGUCGUAA